UACGGAGGGUGCAAGCGUUGUCCGGAUUUAUUGGGUUUAAAGGGUGCGUAGGCGGUUUAUUAAGUCAGUGGUGAAAGACGGUCGCUCAACGAUUGCAGUGCCAUUGAUACUGGUAGACUUGAGUGUGAUUGAGGUAGCUGGAAUGGAUAGUGUAGCGGUGAAAUGCAUAGAUAUUAUCCAGAACACCAAUUGCGUAGGCAAGUUACUAAGUCACAACUGACGCUGAGGCACGAAAGUGUGGGUAUCAAACAGGAUUAGAUACCCCUGUAGUCC
This 273-nucleotide ribosomal RNA is filed under the name uncultured bacterium. RNAcentral describes it as "partial 16S ribosomal RNA". It matches the Rfam family "Bacterial small subunit ribosomal RNA", at positions 524 to 796 of the family's 1533-position model. The record is from RNAcentral.